CUCGGGGAAAAAUUCGAAUACAUAAGCUUGCACAAGGAUGAAUAGGAGGACAUCGUCCUAGAGAAAGAUCUCGAUGAACUAGAGAAGUAUACGUAAUUUAUGGGACUAGCCAGGAUUCAUACCUCACGCGCCUUCAGCCAUGGUGCUUUCCUUGGUGACAUGUGGUAUGCGUGGAAUCUUGCACAAGAGGUGGAAGUUAGGGCAAUCGAAGACAAUCUCUUCUCACUACAACUGAAUUGCUUGGCAUACUGA
This 252-nucleotide ribosomal RNA is filed under the name Triticum aestivum (bread wheat). RNAcentral describes it as "partial small subunit ribosomal RNA". Lineage: Eukaryota; Viridiplantae; Streptophyta; Magnoliopsida; Poales; Poaceae. The record is from RNAcentral.